UGGAAGGAUGAGUCUGGCUCCUGUCUGAAUCAAAUCACUGUGCACUCAACAAGUUGGCUGCUGCUCACACACAGACAAAGCUCCUGCAGUCCACACUCUGCAAAAUGUGUGCAAGAGCAGGAGCCCAAGUGCUGUGAACAUUGCACAGGCAGCAGCAGUGCCCCCUGAGGCGUGUGCCCCAUACAGACAUGUAUCCAGCGGGGUGAAUGGAAACAUGCACGGAGAGUGCUGGACUCCUCCUUAGAAAAUGCAUUGUCACCAUGGGAAGAUUGCUACAAAAGGUUACGGCAGUUCACAAAUGCUGCUCAUGCAUGGGGUGCUGAAUGCUGGCAGGGCAGAGUGUAAUUCCUGACAUUGCUGGAAGGUUGGAAGAGAAGAAAAGUCCAAGGGAAGCCUGGCAGUGGAGUCAGUGCUGGUUGCUCAACCCAGCCCAUUGACAUCAUGUAACAUAAUGGUAAAUAACGUGGGAGUCCACAGUUCAGUGAAAGGUUCCUGAGAUAAUGAAAGCUCCAAGAACUACUGUUAGGCAUGGAAUGUGCUCACAGUGUUAUGUUUGCUUAUAUUUGCUAUUUAAAGUGCAUACAGAGAGACACAGCUGGGCACUCUAACUCUCUUGGAUGGAGGACCAGAGAGGUUUCUGUUCUGCAGAGCAAACCCUAUGACUUCCUUGGAGAAGUCCUAGAUCUUUUCCUGCCCACCUCUGAGCUGCAGGCUCCUGGAUUUCCUUUUGGGGCAUGCCCUUCCACCAACACAGGAGCCAGCAUGGAGACUCCAUCAAGCCAGGGGUGUUGUCUGCAUGGGAGCAGCUGCUGCAGGUUCAAUGCCAGUAGAAACCCAGAUGAACUCAGAUGAGCUUUGACACAGAAAUGAGGUAUCAGAGGAGGACUAUAAGCCAUCAAAGGUCAAUCUCUGUUUGCUGUGUCCAGUGUUGUCUGUUCCUAUGCCUUGCUGGCAAAGAAAAAAAUCCAGCCUGAUCCCGCAGAACACUCCCAGUGACCCCCAAUACUGCCUUGAGCUUCCUGAGCACCUCCUAGGGCAUCUAGCACUGCUGAGAUCACCCCAGUACUGACUAGAGACUCCCAAUGCUCCUUAGAGCUUCCCAGUGCCCUCAGUACUGACUAGAGUCCCACGGAACCCUCCCAGGAUAGCUGUGCAUGCAGUGACAGAGCACCUGGCUGAAUUGAGAAAGGAAUAAACCCUUCUGACGCCCACCUGAAGUCGAGGAAUUAGUCAGUAAGCUCCCACCUGCUGUGAAGAGCAGAUUAGGAGCGUCUGCUGAGAACCCUGAUUAAACUUUUUCACUGUUCAAAUGUGGCUGUCAGUUUUACACAGGUUUGUCAUGGCAGACUCAAUCGACUCUGGUAUGUGGCAACUGUGCUUGUAGCAAAGGUGCAAAAGGACACCAUCAUGUUCCCGUUCCACAAGAUGGACAUAUCUAUGAGACUAAGUUUGCUUUAGAGAUUAAAUGCAGUGCCUGAAGUAGAAAAAGGUGACCUUGGAGGUCUUGUGUUUUUUGCCCGAUGUCUGAGCAGGCUGUGAUUCGAGUUUGGACGGCUUUAUAAUAGAGAAAACCAUCGCUAUGUUUGAGUUUAAAUUACUCAUUAUUCAUUGUGAUGGAAAGAAAGCAGCAAAACUCUCUCGUCUCUCUUGAGCCAAGACAGGAGCUGUGAUCCUGCUCUUCUCUGCAGCAGGAGAGUCUUUCUACUUCAGCGGUGUAAGAAGAUGACGAUGAGAGCCCUGUAGAAGCCAGGCAAAGAAGCCUCGAAUGCUGCCCAGACCUCUGUUAACCUUUCGUCCUGCCAUCCACCACCCUGCCAAUAAGAGAAUCCCUUUCAAACAUGAAGCACAGAAAGUCCAAACCAGCACGUUUCCCUCUUUUCUUUGGGGAACAGACUGCAGUGAUGAACGGACAAAUGGAGCUGGUCCCCAGUGCUAAACUGCAAAAACCACAGGCUUCAGCAAAGCCCUUCAAGCCCUCCUGUCCCCCAGCAGAGUUACUGCUCCUCUCUUCCGACUAAGGUCUGGAAAUAUCAAGAGAGGUGCUGGUCUGAACCUGACUGCAGAGCACCGAGGGCUGUGAGACUGAGAAGCUUAAAAGGGAGCAGAGUAUUGCGUCCGCCCAGCACAGCCUGGGAGAAGAAAGGAAUAAAUGGAGAAGCAUUUCAGCACUUACCUCUCAUUUCUACCAUCGCUAUACAUAACAAGUGCCUCUGCAUAUUUUAUAGCACUUAAAAAGAAACAAGUGUAGCUAGUGUAGAAGCUGGCUUGUUCAGGGAAACUCGAAACAUGUGCAGCCAUAAAAAUCCUUCAUUUGAUGCCAAGCUAUCGCAUUUUCUAGUGUCUGAAAGGCAAAUGAUGCUACAGGAGUUCCCCAUGCUUUCUCUCAGCCUGCUCACAAUCACUGUUACAGAUCCAGAGCAUUCAGCUCAGCUCCCCUCAGCUCCUAGUGGCUGAGCAGAACAAAAACAUCGACGCAGCAUCUCAACGAGUUUUGCUGUAUUGCUGGCACACAACACAGAUGUUUAGGUAGCAAACGCAGCCUCCAUCCAAGGGUGUGCCUUUUGAAGAGGAGAGAGCAGAAACGCUUUCACCCAGUUAAAAGAAAAAACAGCAAGUAGUCAGAUUAUAGAGGAAGGGAUAAGCAAGGAGAUGCCAAAAUCCUGGAGAAGUGAUGGUCCUGGAGCAAUCUGCUUCCCUCUGUAAACAAGGGAAUGUGGUUUGUGGGGUUUGGCUUGUGAAAGUAUGGCCCUGUGUCCCUGAGAGCUACAGAGGGGUUGGGGAUUAACAGGGUCUCUCUGCCUGGCAAUUAUUACAAAAGAUAUGGGAAUAUUUUGUCUUCAAAAAAGCCACUUCUCUGUCCAAACGUGGUCGACAGGUUCAGCAAAUGUCAGCAGGAUCUAUCAGAUGUUCAUGUGCACACACAAAUACUUGGUGUGGUCAUGUAGACCUUCUUCUCAUAGGAAACCAUGCAUCCCUACGUGUUUAACUGAACAUUUUGUUUUUAACAUCUCUUUCCAUUUCCCCUUCCCCCCUCCACUUGGUUAUUGAUGUAUUGGAUUGUCAGAGAGACAUGGGAGGAAGACUGGCAUUAGGAGUAAUGGUGAGGGAUGUCGGUUCUCUCCAGAGCUCUUGCCUCAUUCCACUUUGUGUGGUGGCUGGGAGAAGCACCUCGGUCAAGCCUGUCAUCCUUAUCAAAAAGAUCCUGGCUGCAAAAGGAAAGCCAUCUGUUGAGCCAGGAAAGGGGUGAACAUGCUGGGUGUGCAGGUGGCAGCAGCAAUCUGGUUGCAGCAGCUGGGGCCAUCCCUGACCAUAACCUACAUAAGGAGAAGGCUGAAAUCUGUUACGUGAGCAAGCAGGCAGGAGCACUGGAUUCUGGUGGGAGAGGGAGUGAGAUUCAGCCACCUGAAAGCAUCUCCCUGCAGGAGAAUUACCUUCCCUGUAAAGCAGCAGGCAUCUCUCUUAAGUGUUUUCAAGCUUAAAUUGUUUCCCUAGGUGACAUCCUGGUAAGUGGAUUUCCCAAUUAAGCACAAUCCAAUUAAGUGGGAGGUACUGUAAUUACCAAGUGCUCAGCGCGAGGCAAAGAUCAGAUCCAUCUAUGGCAGAAGGGCUCUUCUCCACUCAGGAAGGGGCUGUAGCGAGGUGCUUCUGUAAGCAUGAAGGUGGGCAGCUCGGACAUGAGGCUUUGCAGCCCCCUCUCUGCCAGUCAGCAUCUUCUGUGUCCCCACGGGGACCAAUUCCCGGUGCCAAUGCCCUGAGUUGCCGAAGCUGUGCAAGCAGACUCGUGCAGCCUGCGCAGCUCCUCCAGCUCCGUACCGCUGGUUUUACAGUGCCACCCACUGGCAGGGGCUCCCACAAACCCUCUUCUGCAGCUCUGCUCCUCCGCAUCUGAUGUUCCAAUGAUGAAAUAUUAGAGGGGUAGCUCUGGUGGGCAUCAUUCAUAGAACGGAUCCCACGUGUGCUGUCCCGGGCCAUCUGGAAGCGUUUUGGAAUCCGUUCUGGUGUGUCUCAGUGUCUGCUGAGCCCACACAGCAAAGUCGUUGGGUCUGCAGCGUGCCAGAUGUUGGCUCAGGCUGUGUUUAAGGACAAUCAAAUGGUGCAGUGCUGCGUCCUGCCUGCGGAGUGGUAGGGCGGGUGAUGAGCCUCCUUCUCGUCCUUGCUGUGCUGAGCACACCAAAUGCAGGGCUCGAUCUGCAUAGGAGGCUGUGUUAAUAUUCUUCCAAGCAGGAGAAAAUACAAACCGUGGCUGAUUCUGAAUGCCCCACUGCACAUUAUUAAGCGUGCAGCCCCAUGGAGAGCAUGCUCCCAGCAGGGGAGGGCUGAGGACUUGUGCAGGACAGAUGGAUGUUCUCCUGCCAGUGCACAGCACAGCAGUCAGCCUGGUCUCUCUGAAUGUGCUCUGUCCUUUCCUGAGUGCUGCACUCGCCUCUGCUGCUGGUUGAAUGUGUGAUGUAAGUCCAGCUGACAAGCAGAAGGAAAGAUGCAGCUGUCAGGGUUUCUGCACGGCAAGCUGCUCCUCACAAGCUACAUUUUAAACUGAGUGCUGAUUUAAAAUCAAAUUUGACAAAUAGCAUGUUGGGGUUGUCAGGUCCUGGAGCACUGUCUUCAAGAAAGUAUGAAAAAGGCACCAGAGGAGAGCUUGGCAUAGCCUUCCAGAUAACAGUAAUUAAAGGCUUUUACACUCAGGCUCUGGAAGCUGCUCCUCUUGCAAAUUGGCCUUGAUUGAAGGGAAAGAGAAUGAUGAGACUGGAGGAAAGUGAUGUGGCCGGCAGGAGAAAACACAGAGGUAAGUCUCAGUCUUUUCUUUUUUUACCCCACCUCCUUGUCCCAGCCAGGGUGGAGGCAGCACUGCUCCUGGGCUGGCUCUGCAGUGCACUGGUGGACAUGGAAGAAAAAGAGGGGCACCACAGCUCUGCUCCUGCCCCAGAGCAUCACCCAGCACUGAGGGAAACAUUCCCAUCCCCCAAAGCAUUCUAGGUUCAGUGACACCAGGGUCACCCAUCCCAGUGUAGCAACCCCAAAACUGAGUUAUCCCCACACAGGGGUUGUGCCCCUAUGUGAUCCCCAGGAUUAAAGCUCUCUUCUCUGCCUGUCUUCAGCUGGAUAUCUUUAAGUACAGCCCUGCAAGCAGCAAAACCCAUGGCCAGAUUGUCUGCAGAUGAGUGGGAGGCAAGCCCCACAUCUUACAUUUGGUGCUUGUUAAUAUUUGGAUAAGACAAGCAGAAUGCUUCAUCCAGGGCGGUGCUUGUGUUUGCUGUAAGCCAAUACCUCUGCGGGGUUACCAUGAAAUUCAAGGCAGCUUGUGAAAAACACUGGUGGGAUAAGGCAUGACUGCAGGCCACUGGCAGCAAAGUCCUUUGAGCCAGGGUAAAGUCUGUGUUUGAAGCCAAAGGGAAUGCACUGGGAGAGCAGCCAGACCCAGACACGGUUCCUGGAGGAUGUGGGGAGAUGCCCUGAGCUCCCACUCUGGCAGUUGAUGCAUCUCUCUGUCUUCCUGGCUCUUUGCAGGAGAAGCUGCUUUCUGCAGGAGCUGGGCAGGUCAGAAAGGACCAGUAGCACCCUGCCAGUGGCUCUGCUCGCAUUCACACCAGCCAUUGGGGUCAGCCCAUUGCAUGUUGCCUUUAGCACAAUAAAACAUCCAGGAAACAAUAUCUCAGUUCAACGUGCCCUGAAUAUCUUUAACAAUCCCCACGGCUGCCUGCAUGCCCUGUGCUGCAUUUGGUUGCAAGCUGUGCUGUCAGGAGGCCUUUAACCUUGCUGGUGCCAAAAUGCACCAUGGUGUCCCUGCUGCCUGCCACUCCCAGCUCUGCAGCAGCGUGACUUGACAGAAGAUGGCAGGGGUUGGAAAAGGGUUGGGAUGCCAUUGCCAUAGGAACUGGUUAGUGUUCGGAAGAGUGAGAGUGAGAACAACUCCAAAAGUAAUGAGUUGUCCCUCUGAUGAUGUGGGGAUCAGGGGGAUUUAGUUAGGGGAAGCAUUAUGCUCCAAAUAAUGAGAGUCCAUAAGCCGCAUCUCCAUGUUUGCUUCCUCCAGAAGGGCUCUGCUGACAGUCCUGGAAAACCAUCUGACAGGGAGCACAGAUACAGCUCCUGCACAGCAGCUGAGCCGCAGCUCUGCACUCCCGGGAUGAAAGGCACAGCUCUGUGCAAUAUUCAUUCACUCAUCCUUCCUCUCUUCAUUCAUUCAUCCAUUCAUCUGCUUCAUUCACAUUUCCCUGGCACUUUAAUGAGCAGUGCUGAGCCCCUAUAGUCCUGCAGAGCCUGUCUCCAGUGCACAACCUCGUGGCUGCAGAUGGCCAUCCCGAAGCUCAGGCUCAGGCAUUUUGCAGGGCAGAUGCUGGUGUGGCCAGGGCAUGGUCUGUGGUGUGCCUAGCCAGUCACCUGGGCCCUUCAAUCCCACUACAAUCCUGGUGGCAGUGUUGUUCCUGUGGUUUCUCUUUGCUCUACUUUGCAAUUUGUUCAAUUCACAUCCUCCUCGUGGGAGCACAAGGAGGGGGAUUGCAUCAAAACUGCAAACAUGGAGGCUUUUCUUCUUUCUGCUGUGUCUCUAGGAAGGACAGAAAGGUGCUUUAGGAGCAUCUCCCCUCCUCAGCCACGUCAGAGCUGCCAGGUGUCUGAUUGGAGAGGCCAUUGCAGAGGUCUCAGAUGGACACCGAGGAGCAUGGUCCUAACCAGAACCUGGCUUUGCCCCACGUUCUCUCUCUGCCCAGAGGCAACAGGGACUGGAGGCAGCAAUUCCAGGCUCCGCAGAGCGGGAUUUUCACCACCUGUAUGCAGACAUGACUCUUGAAGAGAGGGGCUGGGUAGAAAUCCAGCAAAGAUUAAAAGGAGACAAUAAUUUCCCUGCCUAUGAUCUCACUCAUGGAAAACAAUGCUUCUGCUUUUUCUGCAUGCGCUGCUGAUCUGUCCUCGGCCUCCCUUCAGAAAGCUAAAUGCAAAGGAAGCAAACAGAAAGCAUCCGUUCUUUGUAUAAUGGAGAGAGCUUUUUCUUUUAUUCCCUGCCUUUUAUCACGGAUCUGCUGCCAUCACUGUUACUCAGCAGGUUAUUACCUCUGAGUGGAUACUUCCACCGGCCGGAGCUGCUUUGUGGUCUGCUCGGAGCAAUUAUGGAUCGGGUUCAUUCCUGCUGCCUGGUUUCAUUGCACAAGGAUUUGCUGUGCUCCACGGCCAAGGUGAGGUGAGACUCUGAUCUCUGGUUCAUGGAUCCUGAACUCCUGAAGCUGAUUUUGCCCCUUUGAUAAUAAGGCGAAUUACAUGAUUUGAUGGCAGAAGAAAGUGAUGUAAAGAAAAGAGAAAUACAGCUCCAGAGUGGGGUCACCACCUGAGACAGGGCACUUGACACCCCAGAAGAAACACAGGACAUCCUGGUUAAAACGGAGUCACUUGAGCUGCUGCAGCAUGGCUAUUUUCUCUGCAUGGCUUGCAUCUGAGAGCUGUCCUCCAAGGAGAGAAAGUGCUGUUGAACUCGCCAGAACAAAAAAAAAAGAAAGAAAAAAGAAAACCCUGCUGAGCUCCUGCUUGCUCUCCUGACCGAGCAUCCUCCCAGCCACCACUGUGUUACUGUCAUUCCCAGCAGCAUCACACUAACCACAGGAGCAGGGCUGGGGUUUGAGUCCAUGGUCACAUUCCCAACGAGAAAGGGCUGAAUCAGUGCCCCGUGUUGGGGAAGGGGGUCCUGUAUUGUAAUGUCCCCAUUCUGUAUCUGAGAGGGCAGCCAUGGUGCAUCUGCACCUGGAGGAGUGGGGAUUGUUGUAACAAGGCCUGAUCCAGUAACACCCCAAAUUUCAGAGCUUGUAAACAGCCACUGAAAUCUUGGUAGCCUAAUUUAGCUGAAAAGCAGACCUCACAAAAAAAUAAAUGGCCUCAUAAAUACCUGAACAGGGUGUCUCUGCUAUUGAAGCUGCAGAAAUUCCCUGUGCUUUCGGGAUGUGGAUCUACAUUUGCAAUUCGAGUCUCAGACCCUUAGCAAUAAGACCCAGGAGGAGUUGUAGGGUGGGUGCUGAGAUGUCACUCUGCCAUACAGGAUUGAUUUGCAUCUGCCGCCCUUCAAGGUAUGCACCCCAAGGAGUGGUGGUGAGAGCAUCUCAGUGGGGGUGGGCUGCUCAAACAAAUGAAGUGACAUUUGCAUUGCUUUUCAGCUAUUCUGGGACAUCUUUGCAGAAGUCACCUGUGAUAGCCAUGUGUUCUCUGGACAUCUUGGCUGUGACUUCUGCCAGCAUCGCUUUCCACUGGAGACAGUGUUGGUGGGUUUAUAGUUCAUAGGGAAAAGGGCGGGUGCAUGAAAACAGAAGCCUGGAGAAGAAAUUAUCUCAAAUGGCACUGGGCUGAACUGGAUUGGGAUUAACCUUCAUCGAGGAGUUUUCCCUCCUCUGAAUAUUUCAAAACCUACCAAGAAACACAUGCUCCCUCCACUGUCUUGAAGGUCUUGAGAUGUCAGACCUCACCCCUACCCAUUUGUUUCCAGAUUUAAGGAGGUGCUUUGUCUUGAAUAAUCCAUGGAUGUGUCCUUGUGGCUACGCCAGUAGGCAGGACUGAACUGGGCCUGGGUGUGCAGCCCAAAAGCAGAAAUUGCAUUGGAGGGGAAGAAAGACUCACGGUGCUGGCCGAGGAAGGGAGAAAGUGGAGUGGAUAUCCCUCUUCUCUAUUCAGCAGGCUUAGGACCUGCUUUGGCGCAUUUUACUGGCCCAAAAACAAAGCAAGCAUCAGCCAUACCACUGAAUUCCUCCCAGAUUCUCACAUUGCGGAGUGACCUGUGCAAAUGCCAGCAGCUGGGAGACUGAAAUAGCAGCUGCCAUUGCUUAGGCCCCACUGAUUUGUCCUGUGGUUUUUCCACGUCCUUUAAUCUCCAGUAAAUAAUCCCUCAUUUCUUUGUGGUCUUUCUAAUUCCAUGCUCUGUGCCGGCACUUCCUGUAAACAGCGGGUCUAGUGGCCCUUGAUUGAGACUCUUGCCAGCUGUGCAAAGGGCACGUGGCAGGGCUGUGCUUGGGGCUGGAUGUGGCAGUUCCAGAGGGCUGAAUGAUGGGAAUUAGGAGCCUGGUUCUCUUCUUCAUCCAGGCAGAAGUCAGGGCAAGCCAUGGUGCAGCCAGUGAGUAAUUCAGUUAUAAAGCAUGGACACGUGGAAACAGCAGGUGUCAUCAGCCUGCCUCAACACUUCAUACUAUCCAGUCUGAAGAAAUGAUGGGUGGGUCAGUGCUUGAAAGCACAACCGGAAUAAAUGAUGUGAAAUGAGUUCCCUGCGGCACAUGCUUCCACUGGCUCUGCAAGAGUCUGUGCAGAAGCCAUGAGCAGGCCUGUCUCAGCCCUUAGUUAUUACAUUUCCAGUCUAUGAUCUUGAAUGAAGUCCUAAAAUGAAGGUCUGUGCUUUCUGAAGACCUACCUUGGUGCUCAAGGCCUUGAUCUUUCACUGCUUUGUAGAUACAAAGCUUCCAAAUCCUCCCAUGUGCUCCAGGAGAACAUAUUUUCCAACCAGAAUCUCUCCAGUUCUAUUUUGACUUCAGGCUGUUGAAAGAUUUGAAGCAUCAGAUAUCCAUCCUCAACCCUGGCAGAGUUUAUUUUCUUCAGGUGAGCUCAGGUCGAAGUGAUAGUGGAUCGAAUGGGAUUUCAGCUUCACCUCCUGUCUGAAAGCUCACCUGCAUGUUGACUGGUUGCUUACAUAGAUCCUCAAAUAUGAGACAGAUCAGAGUUUGCUCCAUGAAAUGUCCGUGCCCACGUAGUGCCAGUGUGGCAAAAUGCCAGCGGGAGCGUCGUCAGAGCACUCUGUGAAGGUCAGAUGGAGGAGCUGAGGUUUCCCCUCACCUUGCAGAGCUGAUGCUGUAUUCUUGCAGUGCUGAGUUGUUGGCUGAAACGUAGCCCUUCACAGAGUUGGACUGAAACAAAGCGACUUCAAGCGAUGAGAUGGCUGCCUGAGACCUGUUGAAAGCAUCACAAGUGUAGAUGAAAUUGUUCAGUAUGUAUUUAUUGGCUCUCAGUUGCCUCUGCAUUUUUUUUUUCUAACAACAGAGAUGCAAACAAGCCUUAAGAGAGGCAGACAAGAUUUACUCAGGCAGCAAUAGGAACCCUUGAGCCCUGAUGCCAAUAAUCCUCAUCUGGAGUCAGUCCCGUUGGCUCCAGCCACUGCUGAGCUUGCUGGUGGAGAAAACCACUGCAUUGGAUCAAACCAAUGUUAAAGGAGACUUCACAGAAGUUAAUAGCUAGUGGUCAAGAGGAGUUGCCAGACUCUUGCUUUCUCAGUAACUAAUAAAAGUGCUUUUUAACACAAUUAAUGUGAUGUCUUGCUGAAGACUGAAGGAAAUUGGA
This is a long non-coding RNA of Lagopus leucura (white-tailed ptarmigan), 10290 nucleotides long. RefSeq lists it as uncharacterized. The record is from RefSeq and is a predicted model, not a curated record. The transcript has 7 exons. NCBI's taxonomy places the organism in Eukaryota, Metazoa, Chordata, Aves, Galliformes, Phasianidae.